This 295-nucleotide ribosomal RNA is filed under the name uncultured microorganism. RNAcentral describes it as "partial 16S ribosomal RNA". It matches the Rfam family "Bacterial small subunit ribosomal RNA", at positions 505 to 796 of the family's 1533-position model. The record is from RNAcentral.
GUGCCAGCAGCCGCGGUAAUACGUAGGUGGCAAGCGUUAUCCGGAAUUAUUGGGCGUAAAGCGCGCGCAGGUGGUUUCUUAAGUCUGAUGUGAAAGCCCACGGCUCAACCGUGGAGGGUCAUUGGAAACUGGGAGACUUGAGUGCAGAAGAGGAAAGUGGAAUUCCCAUGUGUAGCGGUGAAAUGCGUAGAGAUUAUGGAGGAACACCAGUGGCGAGGGCGACUUUCUGUUCUGUAACUGACAUUGAGGCGGCGAAAGCGUGGGGAGCAAACAGGAUUAGAUACCUUGGUGUUCC